Long non-coding RNA from Homo sapiens (human), 1434 nucleotides. Ensembl annotates it as SDHA pseudogene 4. Its record names the gene SDHAP4. Lineage: Eukaryota; Metazoa; Chordata; Mammalia; Primates; Hominidae. The record is from Ensembl.
AGUCUGCGCAGGGACUGGCGGGACUGCGCGGAGGCGACUGCAGACGUAUCGGGGGUCCGGAGCCUGUCGCGGCUGCUAAGCGCUCGGCGCCUGGCGCUGGCGCUGGCCAAGGCUGACACUAACCCUCUGGAUCUGUGUCUUCUGUGUCUCCAGUGGCCAACAGUGUUGCAAACAGGAACCCGAGGUGUUCACUUCACUGUUGAAGGAACGAGAGGGCAUCUGCUAAAGUUUCAGAUUCCAUUUCUGCUCAGUAUCCAGUAGUGGAUCAUGAAUUUGAUGCAGUGGUGGUAGGCGCUGGAGGGGCAGGCUUUGCGAGCUGCAUUUGGCCUUUCCGAGGCAGAGUUUGAUACAGCAUGUGUUACCAAGCUGUUUCCUACCAGGUCACACACUGUUGCAGCGCAGCUAGAAAAUUAUGGCAUGCCGUUUAGCAGAACUGAAGAUGGGAAGAUUUAUCAGCGUGCAUUUGGUGGACAGAGCCUCAAGUUUGGAAAGGGCAGGCAGGCCCAUCGGUGCUGCUGUGUGGCUGAUCGGACCGGCCACUCAAUAUUGCACACCUCAUAUGGGAGGUCUCUGAGAUAUGAUACCAGCUGUUUUGUGGAGUAUUUUGCCUUGGAUCUCCUGAUAGAGAACAGGGAGUGCCGUGGUGUCAUUGCACUGUGCAUAGAGGACGGGUCCAUCCAUCACAUAAGAGCAAAGAACACUGUUGUUGCCACAGGAGUCAAGAAACUUUUCUUUUGAGCUAUUGACAGCUUUUAACAAGUUAUUAUACUCCUAUGAACAAAAUUUGGAGCAUAUUUGUUUCUCUCUGCCUGAUUUCUCCUGAAUUUGGAAACUAUUUGACAUGAGGAUUCUCAACCUGAUAAAAAUGAGCUUUCCUAAUAACUCAAGACCCAUCUGCCUAGGAAUAAACCAUCCCAGCUGUGAGAGACCAGACGAAACCUGAGACCAGAGACUCGUUUUCUUCUAAAAUGCUUUCUCCAAAAGAUUUUUAAACAGAAAAAGGGGGAAAUGUGAAAGGAAAAGAAAACUUGAGGCCCCCAAAAUCACUAAGCUAAAAGGAAAAGUCAAGCUGGGAAUGGCUUAGGGCAAACCUGCCUCCCAUUCUAUGCAAAGUCAUCCCUCCGUGCACUGAGAUAAAUGCUUAUCUAAUUGCCUCCUUUGGAGAGGCUCAUCAGAAACUCAAAAUAAUGCAACCAUUUGACUCUCACCUACCUGUGACCUGGAAGAUCCCUCUCUGCUUGAGUUGUCCUGCUUUUCUGGAUGGAACCAAUGUUCAUCUUACAUAUAUUGAUUGAUGUCUCAUGUCUCCCUAAAAUGUAUAAAACCAAGCUGUGCCCUGACCACCUUGGGCACAUGUCGUCAGGACCUCCUGAGGCUGUGCCACAGGCAUGCAGCCUCAACCUUGGCAAAAUAAACUUUCUAAAUUGACUGAGA